ACAAAUUUGUGAAUUGUAUGUGACUGUCUGAUGCCGGGGAGCAGCAAGGAGCUUUUGGUGAUUGGAGUGCGAAUAUCACUUAGGAAGACUAGACAGCACUUCAGCACUACACUUCGAGGGCAUUUUAAACAGUGAAAUCAUCAACAAAAAGCACAAAAAUGCAUAAGUGUGGCACCAAAUAGACUGCAAGAAGGACACUUGUUUACGGUUUGAGAGCUGAAACCAGGAGACAGAGUGUUAUCUUAUUUGACUCAAAUUUUUCACCACUCUGAGCAGGUCCGUGAAUGGCCACAAAACUGCUGCGAGAUUUCAUUUUGGGGCUACAAAGGAAUUUUUGCAAGUAGAUGAAUUGGCAAACAUGGAGUCUGUGAAUGAUGAGGAUGGACUGUGUAUGUUGCAUUUGUGGAGAGGACAACUUCAUUGCAGAGGAUGUGUAAAGGGAGCACAGUGCCUAAAGUCUUCAUUAAGGUGUAGGGGACUGAUGUAUCCCCUCCCGAGGGCCCACUGUGCUCAAGAGAAGCAGAGAAUACGCCGGGAGCGGUGGCUCACGCCUGUAAUCCCAGCACUUUGGGAGGCUGAGGCAGGUGGAUCACGAGGUCAGGAGAUUAAGACCAUUCUGGCCAACAUGGUGAAACCCCAUCUCUACUAAAAAUACAAAAAUUAGCUGGGCAUGGUGGCCUGCGUCUGUAGUCCCAGCUACUCAGGAGGCUGAGGCAGGAGAAUCGCUUGAACCUGGGAGGCAGAGGUUGCAGUGAGCCGAGAUCACACCACUGCACUCCAGCCUGGGUGACAGAGCAAAGCUCUUAUCUCAAAAAAAAAAAAAAAAAAAAAGAGAGAGAGAAGCAGAGAAUAAAGGAGGCCAGUGGCCAUCAAAAGGGAGUGGCAGGUAGGUGAGAGAGGACAUAGGGAGGGAGGUGGGAUUGAGAGGGAGGGCAGUGGGUGUUGGGGGGGAGGGUCCCUCACGGUUUAGCUGGGUCCCAGAACUCCCUCCCCCUGAACACCUCGUGGGUGGGUGCCUCUUCUCUGCUCACUUUUGGCUGGACUUCUGCUGAUCUGUGAAACACAGAGAGACUCUCCUCUCUGGCUGUCUCCCAGUUGCGGGGAACCUUUUGAUUUCUUAACUAUUCCCCUGGGAUCCAUUCCUCUAUUUGCUCAUUUUCUAAUACUCCCUCUUCAUCACCGUGUUACUGGGCCACUGACUCCCACUCCAAAGGCCGACCAGGCCCGGAAAGCUCAUAAAGUGAGUCAGCCUAAGAGAAGGGAUCCGAGUCCAGGUCACUUGGAGCUGAUGACGGCAGCGAACCUGGCUAAGCCAGCGUGUGCAAGAUGCUGGCGCUGCUGGAAACAUCGCCUGGAGGAGCGGCCCUCUCAUCACCCGGAACAGACAGGGGUGUCUGCAGAGGUUUCCCAACCUGUCAUCAUUACUCUAGGGUCUUCUUAGAAGGACAACAAACCCUGUACCUGCAUGGCGGAGUGUUAGGAUAUCUGGUACCAUGUCACUCCCCUGAGCUCAGCCAGACUGCCUGAGGGUUGUGCCCCACUCCACCAUUUACUGCUUGUGCCUCAGUUUCCUGAUCUGUAAAAUGGAAGUUCUAAUAGUAUCCACCUCAUAGGGUUGUUAUGAGGACUGCACUACAUAUAUACAUAUAGCACUGAGAACAGUGCCUGCACAGAGUAAGCUCUACAGAACACUGGCUUUUAUUAUUGUGAUUAUUAUUGCUCGUAUUAUUACUACUCUUCUCAUCUCUAAAGAAUGGAAUGGGGCUGAACGAUUUCAAAGGCCUUUCUUUCCCUUCCUGUUCUGUUACUGGAGAUGCUCCCUUGCUGUGUGGCCUUGGGCAAGGCCCUUGUCCUCUCUGGGCCGCAAGUUCUUAUCUUCUAAGUGAGGUGCUGGGAGUCAAGCCCUGAGAGCCUGAAUCUAUGAAAUAAGGAUAAGAUGACUCCUAGAGUGGGGUUCAUUUGUGACUGCAGCCUCUCCUGGGGAUGCUGAAUUUCCUUAUUUUAAGAAUUUACUCAGAAUUUAAUCCAAUUCCUCUCCCCUUUUUGUCUAUUGUAACUGCUUAUUUCAUCUCAGCUGAGAUAAAUGGUUAAGUAAUCAACAUAACAGGGUAUAUUUGUAGUGUGUUUUUAAAGCUCCCAUUCACUGAACCAACCACCUUCCUAAGCCUGGAUUAAUUUAUUCUAUCAUCAUUACAACCCUGGGAGGGAGAUUAUUGUCCCUGUGUUAGAGAUGAGGAAAUUGAAGCACAGAGAAAAGUUAAGCAACUUGCCCAAGGACACACAAACAGUAAAUAGUAAAUCCAGAUUUAAACCAGGAACCUUGACUCCAGAUUCUGUAAGCUUUACCCUGACACUAUACCAGCGGUUGGCCUUGAGCUUAAUUUCUAAUUCUACGAUGGAAACGCUGAGGUGGGAGGCAGGUCUUUACUCCAGACCAGACUGAUGACUGGCUGAACCAGGGAAGAGGCAAAAGCACCUCUCCAUAAGACAUGCUCACCAGUACAUGCCAGUUUACCCUUGCCAGUAACUCAGAAGUUACUGCCUCUUUCCAUGGCAUUGACAGAUCCACCCCUUUUCUAGAAAUUUCUGAAUAGCCCGCCUCUUAAUUUGCAUGUAAUUAAAAUGGGUAUAAAUAUGACUGAAACACUGCCCCGAGCUCCUAUUCUCAACACACUGCCUGUGGGGUAGCCCUGCUCUGCAGGAGGAGUCACGGAGCUGUAACACUGCUGACUCAAUAAAGC
Molecule: long non-coding RNA, 2741 nt
Filed under: Homo sapiens (human)
Lineage: Eukaryota; Metazoa; Chordata; Mammalia; Primates; Hominidae
Description: HSALNT0405786
Source: RNAcentral